Molecule: ribosomal RNA, 254 nt
Filed under: uncultured bacterium
Lineage: Bacteria
Description: partial 16S ribosomal RNA
Rfam family: Bacterial small subunit ribosomal RNA
Source: RNAcentral
UACGUAGGGUGCGAGCGUUGUCCGGAAUUACUGGGCGUAAAGAGCUCGUAGGCGGUCUGUCGCGUCGAUCGUGAAAACUUGGGGCUUAACCCUGAGCUUGCGGUCGAUACGGGCAUGACUGGAGUUCGGCAGGGGAGACUGGAAUUCCUGGUGUAGCGGUGAAAUGCGCAGAUAUCAGGAGGAACACCGGUGGCGAAGGCGGGCCUCUGGGCCGAUACUGACGCUGAGGAGCGAAAGCGUGGGGAGCGAACAGG